AUCUACCCUUAGCUCGUGCAUUUAUUUUGUGCAAGUAUACUUCGUUGAGUAGAACAAGCUGUCUCAAACUCUGAUGAAGGAACCUGGUGGACUCUUCUUCUCGUCUCUCUGCAGCUCUCUCGUCUCCUUCGCCCCCACCACCUCCAGCCAGCCAGCGGAGAAAAAAGAAAGCAGGCGGGGAAGGGGGUGAUUGGAUUGGAGGCUUGGAGCUUGGAGCUGGCACCUGGCGGCACAAAGCACAGCAAAGCAAAGCACCCGAUUCGAUUCCUAGCCACCCGGCUUCUUUUUCCAACCGUCCUUCCAUGGCUUUCUUGCUUGAUCGAUCUUGAUUGCCCGCCUCAGCUCCUUCCCGCUCCUCUUCUCCUGACUUCUCGCUCUUGCCGGUGGCUGGAGGAGCCGAGGCUGAGCUGGCGGCCCGCCUACCGGCCGGCCGGCGUUGUGGUCGAUCGGGCAGUCGGUUGGUAAGCAAUUUCGCAUGGCAAUUUAGCCAGCGCGGCGAUUGGUUGAGUCGUCUUCCACCAUUGCGCCGGCAGCAGCCGGUGUUGCCUCGCCAGCAGCGGAAAGGCGCUUUCUUGGGCCAUGGCGUGCGCGGCGGCGCACAUGUUCGCCUACAACGCCACCCUCUGCGCCUGCGACCCCGGGUACUACCUCCGCGCCAACAGCAGCGGCGGCAACGGCAGCAACAGCUGCGUGUCGCUGCCGGGCGGCGGCGGGGGCGGCGGCGGGUUCGGCGACUGGCAGGUGGGGUCCGUGGGCGCGACCCGGAACCAGAGCUUCUACUUCCUGACCCCCGUCCUCUCCCUCGACGUCAUCCGCCGCCUCACCCAGUCCCAGGCCGUCCUCCUCUGGGCCGCGCUCGCCGCGCUCCUCUCCUGGUUCGCCUUCUGCGCCGCCGCCAGGUUAGCCGGCCGGGACCCCGCCCGCCACAAGAAGCUCUUCGACGCCCGGUUCUGGAUCAGCCGCCUCGACUGCAUCUUCGACAACAACCACUACGCGGAUGAUCAGCAAGUACUGAAGAAAAGGAAAACAGAGCUGGGUGGCACGUUCUCGGUGGCUACCUUGAUACUCUUCCUCGGACUAGUCACCGUGCUGCUGUAUCAAGCCAUCAAAAGACGCAAUGUCGAAGUACAUCGAGUUAAACCAGCUAAUGCUCCGGAUCUGCUGAACUUUGUGAAUGAUCUCGAGUUUCACAUAACCACAGUCUCAAGCAUGUCCUGCGCUCAAGCAGUCGCACCUUCUACAAUAGCAAUGGGAACUCCUGGGUUUAUGGACUUCAGGGUGCAGCCUCUGUCAACACUCUUGACCUACAGUUGCCAGAACACGAGCGAUGGGCCAUCUAUUACACUUAAGUGCAAUGGCUGCCGAAUCCCUCCAAGAGACCACUAUGUAUCCUGGCAGUUUGUUGACCUUCCAAGGCAACCAGCUACCGCUGUUGCCUUCCAGUUCAAUCUGACUGCAAAGCAACAUGGAGAUAACAGUGACGUCAGCUUUGUGAGUGGUACUAUAAGCUCCAACAAUUUCGUUGAUGACAAGCUGAAGACUUUCAGAGGGCGAGACUCCAAUGUGCUCAAGAUUCAAUUGUUUCCUCAAAUAUACAACAACCAUCAUGGCUUGAAGCUCUUACAGCCACUCCUUCAGGACUUCACUCAAGGUUCUACCUUUUCAGAUGUGAGCAGCUUAAAUGCUUCCCUGCAGAACCCUAUCGAUGGAGUGAUAAAUACUACACUCUACAUAAGUUAUCUUUCUGACUAUAUCGUGGAGAUCAACAAUGAAAAUGUGUUAGGCCCAGUUAGUAUAAUUGCAAGUAUUGGUGGCCUGUAUGCCUUCAGUGUGGCAAUUUUUCUGUGCCUUAUGGCUCAAUGCGAAGGUAGGAUAAAGAAGCUCCGUCAUGAGGACACCAGAAUGCUGAAAAUUCUGAGCAAACAACGUGCUCAGCGAAAUUGGAACAAGGUGCGGAAGUUUGUCAUGUACACCUGGGGUCCUAGCAACUUGGAUCCAACUGAUAGAAGUGGCAAGUGGCCUGAAGGUUCAGUGAUGGAUUCCCUCCACGGAUCCUUCCACAAGAGAAGAAAACCUAUUAGAAGAGGAACCUCCAACGGAAGCAAACCCAAGAAGCCUGCUGAUAUGAGUUUCCUUGAGGAAUAAAUUUGUGCAAUGGUACUGCCGCAGGCAAUUGAAAUCGAAAGAGUUGGAGAGAUACAGAAGCCAAGCAGUUCUAGAUAGCCUUGAUGGAUGGAGCAUCUGUGAUCACUAGCGACGGUUCCGACACGACCAUGCUCCGGGAGAGGGGUUGUCUAUAUCAAGAACGUAGUUAGAGACAAGUGGCAAUUGUACAGAGUGAGGUUGCAGGGCUGUAGCAUCAGGGUUGGGGAUGCUGCUGGUUAGGAAGAGAGAGAUUGGGAAUUGCAUUGCCGUUUUAAGUUGGAGCUAGCUGCUUCAGAGGUCUGUGUGUCCUUUUUGAUUUCUUAGACGGGAUUGCUAUUCUUUUAUUGAGUUGUAGAUGUUGAUUGGUGAUUAUCCACGUCUGUAUUUGAUUGAAGCACUUCCUUUCAUCUCCCUUGAUGUCAAUUUGCAAUUUCGAAAUGAGGAAGAGAAGAGUAAACACGGCUCUUAUUCUUUUUUUA
RNA transcript from Panicum hallii, 2624 nucleotides. RefSeq lists it as uncharacterized. Lineage: Eukaryota; Viridiplantae; Streptophyta; Magnoliopsida; Poales; Poaceae. The record is from RefSeq and is a predicted model, not a curated record. The transcript is spliced from 8 exons.